RNAcentral lists this small nucleolar RNA (107 nucleotides) under Ricinus communis (castor bean). RNAcentral describes it as "Plant small nucleolar RNA R71". It matches the Rfam family "Plant small nucleolar RNA R71". Rfam says of the family: R71 is a member of the C/D box family of snoRNAs containing the C (UGAUGA) and D (CUGA) box motifs. The record is from Rfam by way of RNAcentral. Lineage: Eukaryota; Viridiplantae; Streptophyta; Magnoliopsida; Malpighiales; Euphorbiaceae.
AGUCCAUAGUGUGGACAACAUUGCAGUAGGUCCUUGUACCUCUCCCAAGUGUCAUACAUCGACUCAUCAUCAAACUACACAAAAGAAGAUAUGUCAUUUCUAAGUUU